This 384-nucleotide transfer-messenger RNA is filed under the name Helicobacter pylori. It matches the Rfam family "transfer-messenger RNA". From Rfam's summary of the family: Bacterial tmRNA, also known as 10Sa RNA or SsrA, is named for its dual tRNA and mRNA-like properties. Its role is to liberate the mRNA from a stalled ribosome. The record is from RNAcentral. Lineage: Bacteria; Pseudomonadati; Campylobacterota; Epsilonproteobacteria; Campylobacterales; Helicobacteraceae. RNAcentral also lists the same sequence under 1 other name.
GGGGCUGACUUGGAUUUCGACAGAUUUCUUGUCGCACAGAUAGCAUGCCAAGUGCUGCUUGUAAAACAGCAACAAAAAUAACUGUAAACAACGCAGAUUACGCUCCAGCUUACGCUAAAGCUGCGUGAGUUAAUCUCCUUUUGGAGCUGGACUGAUUAGAAUUUCUAGCGUUUUAAUCACUCCAUAACCUUAAGCUAGACGCUUUUAAAAGGUGGUUCGCCUUUUAAACUAAGAACAAGAACUCUUGAAACUACCUCAAGGUUUUAGAAAGUUGGACCAGAGCUAGUUUUAAGGCUAAAAACUAACCAAUUUUCUAAGCAUUGUAGAAAUUUGUGUUUAGGACAAGAUUUUUGGACUGGGGUUCGAUUCCCCACAGCUCCACCA